This 2171-nucleotide ribosomal RNA is filed under the name human gut metagenome. RNAcentral describes it as "bacterial LSU rRNA". It matches the Rfam family "Bacterial large subunit ribosomal RNA", at positions 48 to 2312 of the family's 2925-position model. The record is from RNAcentral.
GACGAAGGACGUGAUAAGCUGCGAUAAGCUUCGGGGAGGAGCAAAUAUCCUAUGAUCCGGAGAUUUCCGAAUGGGGAAACCCACUGGAGCAAUACUCCAGUAACGUGCAUUGAAUCAAAUAGGUGUACGUGGGGAACCGCCUGAACUGAAACAUCUAAGUAGGGCGAGGAAAAGACAUCAACCGAGAUUCCGCUAGUAGUGGCGAGCGAACGCGGAGGAGGCCAAACCGGAGGAUUUAUUCUCCGGGGUUCGGACUUGCAUCAAGAUCAGAGGAGCCUAAAAGAACGGCAUGGGAAGGCCGGCCACAGAGGGUGAGAGCCCCGUAUUUGAAAGGUGAAACUGACAGCGAGUAUCCAGAGUACCGCGGGACACGAGGAACCCCGUGGGAAAACGGGUGGACCACCAUCCAAGCCUAAAUACUACCUGAUGACCGAUAGAGGAGCAGUACCGUGAGGGAAAGGUGAAAAGGACCCCGGGAGGGGAGUGAAAGAGAACCUGAAACCUUGUGCUUACAAGCACUCAAAGCACGUUAAAGUGUGAUGAGGUACUUUUUGUAGAACGGUCCGGCGAGUUAUAGUAACGAGCAAGCUUAAGGUAUUCAGUACCGGAGGCGAAGCGAGAGCGAGUCUGAAUAGGGCGUAAAAAGUUCGUUGCCAUAGACCCGAAACCGGGUGACCUAACCAUGAGCAGGCUGAAGUGAGAGUAAAAUCUCAUGGAGGGCCGAACGCACGUUCGUUGCAAUGACCGGCGAUGACUUGUGGUUAGCGGAGAAAUUCCAAUCGAACUCGGAGAUAGCUGGUUCUCCCCGAAAUAGCUUUAGGGCUAGCGUUAUCUUAGAUUACCGGAGGUAAAGCACUGAAUGGGCUAGGGGGCGAUAAGCUUACUGAACCCUAUCAAACUCAGAAUGCCGGCUAAUUGAUGGAUAGCAGUCAGACAGUGUGAGAUAAGUUUCAUUGUCAAAAGGGAAACAGCCCAGACCCACAGCUAAGGUCCCAAAUGUAUGCUAAGUGGAAAACGAUGUGGAGUUGCGAAAACAACCAGGAUGUUGGCUUAGAAGCAGCCACUCAUUAAAAGAGUGCGUAAUAGCUCACUGGUCGAGUGACUCUGCGCGGAAAAUAUAACGGGGCUAAGCAUGCAACCGAAGCUUGGGAUUGUCUAAAGACAGUGGUAGGGGAGCGUCGUGUACGGGGUGAAGUCGCAUCGGAAGGAGCGGUGGACUGUACACGAGUGAGAAUGCCGGAAUGAGUAGCGAGAAUUAUGUGGGAAUCAUAAUGGCCGAAAAUCUAAGGUUUCUUGGGGAAGGUUCGUCCGCCCAAGGUAAGCCGGGAGCUAAGGCGAGGCCGCAAGGCGUAGUCGAUGCACAUACGGUAAAGAUUCCGUAGCCGCCGAACUUUAAGUCAGAGGGACACUUGCAGAUAGCGGAACCCAGCCGUUGGUUGAGCUGGGCGAAAGGGACUGAAAUUAGUAGGGAAGUCCGCGAUGCUGAAAGGCGAGAAAAGCUCUGAUGAAUACUAAGGCGCCCGUACCGCAAACCGACACAGGUAGAUGAGGAGAGAAUCCUAAGGCCAACGGGAGAAGGGUUGUUAAGGAACUCGGCAAAUUGACCCCGUAACUUCGGGAGAAGGGGUGCUCCAGAGAUGGAGCCGCAGAGAAUCGGCCCAAGCAACUGUUUACCAAAAACACAGGUUUGUGCUAAAUCGAAAGAUGACGUAUACGAGCUGACGCCUGCCCGGUGCUGGAAGGUUAAGAGGAGAUGUGCAAGCAUUGAAUCGAAGCCCCAGUGAACGGCGGCCGUAACUAUAACGGUCCUAAGGUAGCGAAAUUCCUUGUCAGGUAAGUUCUGACCCGCACGAAUGGCGUAAUGAUUUGGGCACUGUCUCGACAGCCCGCCCGGCGAAAUUGUAGUACUGGUGAAGAUGCCAGUUACCCGCAACUAGACGGAAAGACCCCAUGGAGCUUUACUGCAGUUUAAUACUGGGAAUCGGUAAUGCAUGUACAGGAUAGGUGGGAGACUAGGAAGCAUGGUCGUCAGGUCAUGUGGAGUCACCGGUGGGAUACCACUCUUGUAUUGCUGAUUUCCUAACCUGCGGCCGUGAAUCCGGUCGGGGGACACUGUUAGGCGGGCAGUUUGACUGGGGCGGUCGCCUCCUAAAGAGUAACGGAGGCGCUCA